ACAGAUUCGUCUUCCUGUCAAUCAUUGUAUGAAAUGAAAAAUAGAGCAAGAUAUCUUUAGAGAUUUUCAACUAUAAAACUAGAAAGUUGACGUUUUGAUCGCACACAAUUUACUGAGGAACAUGAAACGUGAUUAAUUCAUGUAAAAGUAUUGUAAAAGAUGGCGAUUCGCCAGAGAAGUCAGCAUUUCGAGUAAUCGCACGUUUGAACAUCAAACGAAACCGAUUAAACGUAAAAGGAUUACUAGAGUUGCUGAAUAAUCAAACAAGCAGCUGUUAAGCCAAUGAGAUAGCUAUUUGCAGAAUCUUUGAAGAAUGCGAUAAGUCAAAGUGAAAUCUCGACGUUGCAAAAUAUCUUUUCGCAUAUCUAAAAUUGGACACGACUAAGCCAUUCAAUGUUAAGGACGGGAUAGGACCGGAAUUUCCAAGACGAUGAUGAAAUCCGUUGUGGCGCCUAAAGGAAUUUCAUGGAAAGUGCCUCCUACUCGCUUUUAUCAGGGAGAUCGACCGGUCCAGGCGUUUUCCUCUUCAGCGUCCCGAUACUCUCUCGUUUGACGUGAGUCAACUAAUAACAUGUACGCGUCUCUCGUGAAAUAAUCUUUGCGUUUUCCAUUUGCAAAGUGACAUUUGUCACGAGCUUAUGGAAGACGCGCGACAUUUGUCGCGUGAAAGCAACCGGAUAUCUUUAUUUCUCUU
Long non-coding RNA from Camponotus floridanus (Florida carpenter ant), 694 nucleotides. RefSeq lists it as uncharacterized. The record is from RefSeq and is a predicted model, not a curated record. NCBI's taxonomy places the organism in Eukaryota, Metazoa, Arthropoda, Insecta, Hymenoptera, Formicidae. The transcript is spliced from 3 exons.